UCUGCACAGAAGGCAUGAUACCUAUAUAAGGGAUUUGAAAGUUCAAGUCAAGAUUCCUUUACACUCUUCUUUUUGAAUUUCAUAUAAGUCCAGUCUGCUAUAAAUGUUCCCAGUAUUACCUGAAUGGCUUAAACAUUGAGCUCCUAUCCAUUUCUUAAAUUGUAUUAAUUUUCCAGCAUUAGGUGGGAUUGUGAUGGGAUGAACUGAACCCCGAUGAGCGAAGGAACUUUGCAAGUGUAGUAGUUGAUUUGAUGUCUGAAAUUACAAAUUCCAGUGAAGAAUGGGCUUUGAAAAGUCAGACGUCAGCUCUUGUUUCCAAGGUAUUCUUCCUCCUUUUUUUUAAAGAUUUGAUCACUUCAUUCGAUAAAUUUAUAGUUCUUAGGAUUGUGCAAUUGUAUAUGUUUUAGGUAGUAGUCGUCAGUUUCCAGAAUUGGGACACAAGACAGUCAAAAUUCCUUUUGAAAUUUGUAAUAAUAGUCUGGCUCUGUUUGUAGUGUGGAAACUUGGUUCUUUUUAGUGAAUAGUGAACUUGGCUCUGUUUGUAGUGUGGAAACUUGGCUCUUUUUACUCUUUUUAGUUCCAGGCAGAGUAAGAAACUUGCAUUUUCCUAGUUCUUGUCCUUCACUAUUCCUGCAUUUUCUUUUUCAUGGAUUUGUGCUACAGUGAAAUUAGGACUAGUGAUAAUUUCUAUGUAAUUAAAGCACAUAAUACGAAUUGUUUUGGAAAGAAUCCGCAAGAAAAUAACUCAAUCAAGCAUGUUUGCAGUUGAGAUAAUGCUAUUACCGAGUGUGUUUUUGGUGUUGGUAUUGUAGUGCCUUUAUGAUAAUUGUUUCCCGGAUAUUGAAAUUAGGACUCUGGUGGUUAUUGUUGUGUAAUUAGAGUACGAAAGUGCUAUUUAUUUUGGAAAGAAAUCUGCAAGAAAAUAAUUUGAGGAUAGGCAUAUAUAUGGUUGAUAGCUUCAAAUAAAGGAAUUCAGCUUCAUCGAUGUUCAAAUUUGCUCCUUGUCGUGUAACUCCAACAUCUUGCCUAUGAGAAGGCCUCAGAGGGGCUGGGGUGGUCCUGGUUGGAGUCAUGAUCGAACAUGCCACAUGCCGCUUGCUUGGUGGGCUUAGUUUAGAAAUAAAGUUGUGCGCUUGCUAUUAGCUAUAGCUUUUGGCAUGAUAGUAAGCGCUUGAUCCUAACAAAGUUGUUCAUGUCUAAAAGUGGAAAAAAAGUAGUCACCCCUUUACCAUCUGGACUUUUAUGUUGUUGCUUUUUCGGUCAGAUAGCAUGAUCGUUAACAUACUGGGAUAGGGUGGCAAAGGGGUGACCAUGACAGUGAUGUUUUUCAUUAGUGUUCUUUUUUUGUGCUGCAAGUGCAAGCUUUACUUGUUCCUGCUUAAGCUUGUCCGACAUAUUUGAAGAAAAAGGUGGGUUUCUUUCAGUUUUGGCGGUUUGCUUGCAAUUUUCAGCUCUUCAUGCCUUUCGCUAUGUCCCCGUCCUAGAAGAUGGCACUUCAAUUCAUGCUCUGAGGUGGUUAUCACUUGACAUACCAGACAAGUCCACUCUGUUUAAACAUUCUUUACAGAAUUGGUUUCUGGGAGUUUAAUCUCCUCGACAUCCACUGGAAGUGUUGUUCCCUUGAACUGCAUAGCUGUUGGUUUCUUCUCAAUCUGAAUUAGAUUUUCCUUCACACUAUUAAGCUGUAGUUCCACAGAUGAUAUCUUAAUCACUAGCAUACAGACUACUUUUACUCCAGAGCCACUGAUUAUCUCUCUCGUGUCUGCAAUGUGAUAUUGUGAUGCUUACAUCCCUGUGCUGAUCUUAUUUAAAUAAAACCAAUAUCUCGGUUUCUUACUGCUGACUGCUGAGACCUAUAUGUUCCUCUUUCCCGCACCUGUUUUUCCCUUGUUUCGAUUUCUCUCCAUCCAUAUAACAAGGGUUGGUGGAACUAAAAUCACCAUUUGUCAUCAUGCUUAAAGGCUCAUUUUCUUCUUGUGAGAUGACUAGCAUUGGAAUGUGCUGAAAGAAAUAGUUGAAAGAUAUAUCAUGCACAUGAAAAUUGAUGACUUGGAAUAUGGGGAAGGGGGGUGUCAAGAGUCUUUCUUAGAAUAUCUAUCAAUCAGGUGUUCUUUCUGUAAUCGAGACAUUGCAAUCUCAUGAACAGCAAGCCAUGAACAAAACUAUUUGCAACACUAGCACCUGCUGUGCUUUACAUGGUCUCUCUGUUCCUGUUUUAUCUUAACUUAAGCCAUUGAAGACUAUACAUGAUUAUUAACACCACCUGAAAUACCCUCUGGAUAGAACUAAUUGGAUAUUGUGUUGCGAGCUUGCUAUGACACUUAACCAGCUACUACAUUUUUUGUCCGGAACAUAAUGUCCACAUUUUAACAAAUAAUUAAGAAAUAACAGUACAAAUUUUCGAAAAAACAUAUGAAGAAAAUUGAAAAGAUAGCUCUCAGAUAUCUGUGUACUACAAUUUCUCUACGGUCUCAAUUUAGUCAGCAUGAUGUUAUUGUGACAUCAUAUGACGUUAUUCGCAAAGAUGUUGAUUAUCUUAGGCAGCUAUUCUGGAACUAUUGCAUUCGUCACAUAUGAUGUUAUUCGCAAAGAUGUUGAUUAUUUUAGGCAGCUAUUCUGGAACUAUUGCAUUCUAAAUAAGGGACAUAUCAUAAAGAAUUCUAAGGCGAAAAGAACAGUUGCUUUAACAGCAACUGAAGGCACAGUGUCGCCUCAUUCUGUGUGGAACGCCAAUACAGAAUAAUGUGUUGGAUUUGUGGUCGCUCUUUGACUUUCUUAUGCUGGGGUUUCUUGGAACUGAAAGACAAGAUACACUCUUGUGGUGGGGUCUUUUUCUGGACACCGUGUAUAGCGGUAGCUUUAGUGCACCGGGCUGCUCUUUUUUGAAUGUGUAGGAUCAAUGCGGGGGAUCAAAUUUGAAUGGUGGGCGCCACAACUUAAAUUGAUCUAGAUUGAAGUGAAUGAUGAUGAAUUUUUGAAAUAUUUUGAUAUACCUUUAUAUACAUUUAGUUUUGUGUGGAAUUUGGUACAAAUUUUUAGUAUGUUGUUUUCUAAUUAGUA
This is a long non-coding RNA of Capsicum annuum, 3060 nucleotides long. RefSeq lists it as uncharacterized. The record is from RefSeq and is a predicted model, not a curated record. The transcript has 3 exons. Lineage: Eukaryota; Viridiplantae; Streptophyta; Magnoliopsida; Solanales; Solanaceae.